Molecule: microRNA precursor, 79 nt
Filed under: Dipodomys ordii (Ord's kangaroo rat)
Lineage: Eukaryota; Metazoa; Chordata; Mammalia; Rodentia; Heteromyidae
Description: mir-3473 microRNA precursor family
Rfam family: mir-3473 microRNA precursor family
Source: Rfam by way of RNAcentral
ACCACUGAGCCACCUUUCCAGCCCUGUAAUAUAUUUUUUAAAAAGAAUAAGAUUGGGGCUAGGAAGGUGGCUCAGUGGU